This 1571-nucleotide ribosomal RNA is filed under the name Butastur indicus (Grey-faced buzzard). Its description in RNAcentral is "16S ribosomal RNA". It matches the Rfam family "Bacterial large subunit ribosomal RNA", at positions 192 to 2817 of the family's 2925-position model. The record is from RNAcentral. Lineage: Eukaryota; Metazoa; Chordata; Aves; Accipitriformes; Accipitridae.
AGCCUAACCAGUCAUUUACCCGUCAACUAAAAAUUACCCCCACCCACAAACUAAAACAUUCUCUUUAGCUUAGUAUAGGUGAUAGAAAAGCUCCUCCAGUGCAAUAGAGAUUCUGUACCGUAAGGGAAAGAUGAAAUAAUAAUGAAACCCCAAGCAAUACACAGCAAAGAUAAGCCCUUGUACCUCUUGCAUCAUGGUUUAGCAAGAAUAACCAAGCAAAACGAAUUUAAGCUUGCCCUCCCGAAACCCAAGCGAGCUACUUGUAGGCAGCUACCCCCUGAGCGAACCCGUCUCUGUAGCAAAAGAGUGGGACGACCUACUAGUAGAGGUGAAAAGCCAACCGAGCUGGGUGAUAGCUGGUUGCCUGUAAAACGAAUCUAAGUUCACCCUUAAUUCCCCUCCAAGGACCCUAACUAACCCUCGCACGUAGCGAAUUAAGAGUAAUUUAAAGGAGGAACAGCUCCUUUAAAAUAAGGAUACAACCUCUUACAGCGGAUAAUAUAACCCAUCUUCCCUAGUCUGUUGGCCUUUAAGCAGCCACCAACAAAGAGUGCGUCAAAGCUCCCUUCCUAAAAAUAUAUAGACAAUAUGAGUCCCUCCCCACUAACAGGCCAAUCUAUCAUAAUAGGAGAAUCAAUGCUAGAAUGAGUAACUAGGAUUAUCCACCUCUCAAGCGCAAACUUACAUCCCUACAUUAUUAACAGUACUUAAUUAAUGCUACAAUCCUAACAAGUCCAAACAUUAAAACCACCCUGUUACCCCAACUCAGGAGCGCCUACUAGAAAGACCAAAAUCUGUAAAAGGAACUAGGCAAGCCUAAGACCCGACUGUUUACCAAAAACAUAGCCUUCAGCAAGCCAAGUAUUGAAGGUGAUGCCUGCCCAGUGACCACUAGUUUAACGGCCGCGGUAUCCUAACCGUGCGAAGGUAGCGCAAUCAAUUGUCCCAUAAAUCGGGACUAGUAUGAACGGCUAAACGAGGUCUUAACUGUCUCUUACAGAUGGUCAGUGAAAUUGAUCUUCCUGUGCAAAAGCAGGGAUAGGCACAUAAGACGAGAAGACCCUGUGGAACUUAAAAAUCAGCAGCCACCACAUAUAAGCACACUCCUACCAGGACCACAACCAAAUACCCAAACUACUGGCCCGCAUUUUUCGGUUGGGGCGACCUUGGAGAAAAGAAAAACCUCCAAAAACAAGGCCACACCCCUUAACCAAGAGUAACCUCUCAACGUACUAAUAGUGACCAGACCCAAUAAACAUUGAUUAAUGGACCAAGCUACCCCAGGGAUAACAGCGCAAUCUCUCCUAAGAGCCCCUAUCGACGGAGAGGUUUACGACCUCGAUGUUGGAUCAGGACAUCCUAAUGGUGCAGCCGCUAUUAAGGGUUCGUUUGUUCAACGAUUAACAGUCCUACGUGAUCUGAGUUCAGACCGGAGCAAUCCAGGUCGGUUUCUAUCUAUGAAAUACUUCCCCCAGUACGAAAGGACCGGGAAAGUAAGGCCAAUACUAUAAGCACGCCUUCUCCUCAAAUAAUGACCCCAACUAAAUUAUAAAAGGAACUCCCACAUAAAU